This 309-nucleotide ribosomal RNA is filed under the name uncultured bacterium. Its description in RNAcentral is "bacterial SSU rRNA". It matches the Rfam family "Bacterial small subunit ribosomal RNA", at positions 30 to 339 of the family's 1533-position model. The record is from RNAcentral.
AUUGAACGCUGGCGGCAUGCCUUACACAUGCAAGUCGAACGGCAGCACGGGAGCAAUCCUGGUGGCGAGUGGCGAACGGGUGAGUAAUGUAUCGGAACGUACCUUUCAGUGGGGGAUAACGUAGCGAAAGUUACGCUAAUACCGCAUAUUCUGUGAGCAGGAAAGCAGGGGAUCGCAAGACCUUGCGCUGAUUGAGCGGCCGAUAUCAGAUUAGCUAGUUGGUGAGGUAAAGGCUCACCAAGGCGACGAUCUGUAGCGGGUCUGAGAGGAUGAUCCGCCACACUGGAACUGAGACACGGUCCAGACUCC